CAUAAAACCAUGACAGGAAUUAGUAACAGGCAUGCUUUCUUUAGAGAGCCGGUGGAAGGUGCGAACCGGUGGCUGCGGCUUGUGAAUCCAUCCUCGAGUAAAGUAUGGAACACCCAGCGGGUUAGUAAUUACUUUCGGCCUAAGCCGUUAUCUUUAUGAGUGGAAGACAGAUUCAUGUUUUCAACUAGGGUGGCAACGCGGGUUAACUCUCGUCCCUUUU
This 220-nucleotide non-coding RNA is filed under the name Bacillus sp. CECT 9360. RNAcentral describes it as "T-box". It matches the Rfam family "T-box leader". From Rfam's summary of the family: Uncharged tRNA acts as the effector for transcription antitermination of genes in the T-box leader family. T-boxes are found upstream of many aminoacyl-tRNA synthetase genes and some amino acid biosynthetic genes usually in Gram-positive bacteria. The record is from RNAcentral. Lineage: Bacteria; Bacillati; Bacillota; Bacilli; Caryophanales; Bacillaceae.